This 446-nucleotide ribosomal RNA is filed under the name uncultured bacterium. Its description in RNAcentral is "partial 16S ribosomal RNA". It matches the Rfam family "Bacterial small subunit ribosomal RNA", at positions 338 to 795 of the family's 1533-position model. The record is from RNAcentral.
CCUACGGGUGGCAGCAGUCGAGAAUCAUUCACAAUGAGGGAAACCCUGAUGGUGCGACGCCGCGUGGGGGAAUGAAGGUCUUCGGAUUGUAAACCCCUGUCAUGUGGGAGCAAAUUAAAAAUAUAGUACCACAAGAGGAAGAGACGGCUAACUCUGUUACCGCAGCCGCGGUAAUACAGAGGUCUCAAGCGUUGUUCGGAAUCACUGGGCGUAAAGCGUGCGUAGGCUGUUUCGUAAGUCGUGUGUGAAAGGCGCGGGCUCAACCCGCGGACGGCACAUGAUACUGCGAGACUAGAGUAAUGGAGGGGGAACCGGAAUUCGCGGUGUAGCAGUGAAAUGCGUAGAUAUCGAGAGGAACACUCGUGGCGAAGGCGGGUUCCUGGACAUUAACUGACGCUGAGGCACGAAAGCGUGGGGAUCGAACAGGAUUAGAUACCCUUGUAGUC